Molecule: ribosomal RNA, 359 nt
Filed under: Staphylococcus aureus
Lineage: Bacteria; Bacillati; Bacillota; Bacilli; Caryophanales; Staphylococcaceae
Description: bacterial SSU rRNA
Rfam family: Bacterial small subunit ribosomal RNA
Source: RNAcentral
UUUUAUGGAGAGUUUGAUCCUGGCUCAGGAUGAACGCUGGCGGCGUGCCUAAUACAUGCAAGUCGAGCGAACGGACGAGAAGCUUGCUUCUCUGAUGUUAGCGGCGGACGGGUGAGUAACACGUGGAUAACCUACCUAUAAGACUGGGAUAACUUCGGGAAACCGGAGCUAAUACCGGAUAAUAUUUUGAACCGCAUGGUUCAAAAGUGAAAGACGGUCUUGCUGUCACUUAUAGAUGGAUCCGCGCUGCAUUAGCUAGUUGGUAAGGUAACGGCUUACCAAGGCAACGAUGCAUAGCCGACCUGAGAGGGUGAUCGGCCACACUGGAACUGAGACACGGUCCAGACUCCUACGGGAGG